RNAcentral lists this transfer RNA (76 nucleotides) under Burkholderia gladioli. Its description in RNAcentral is "tRNA-Ala". It matches the Rfam family "tRNA". From Rfam's summary of the family: Transfer RNA (tRNA) molecules are approximately 80 nucleotides in length. Their secondary structure includes four short double-helical elements and three loops (D, anti-codon, and T loops). Lineage: Bacteria; Pseudomonadati; Pseudomonadota; Betaproteobacteria; Burkholderiales; Burkholderiaceae. The record is from RNAcentral. RNAcentral also lists the same sequence under 1 other name.
GGGGGUAUAGCUCAGUGGGAAGAGCGCUUGCAUGGCAUGCAAGAGGUCAGCGGUUCGAGCCCGCUUACUUCCACCA